RNAcentral lists this ribosomal RNA (253 nucleotides) under uncultured Lachnospiraceae bacterium. RNAcentral's name for it is "partial 16S ribosomal RNA". It matches the Rfam family "Bacterial small subunit ribosomal RNA", at positions 524 to 776 of the family's 1533-position model. The record is from RNAcentral. Lineage: Bacteria; Bacillati; Bacillota; Clostridia; Lachnospirales; Lachnospiraceae.
UACGUAGGGGGCAAGCGUUAUCCGGAUUUACUGGGUGUAAAGGGAGCGUAGACGGCGCGGCAAGUCUGAAGUGAAAGGCAGGGGCUUAACCCCUGAACUGCUUUGGAAACUGCCAUGCUAGAGUGCUGGAGAGGUAAGUGGAAUUCCUAGUGUAGCGGUGAAAUGCGUAGAGAUUAGGAAGAACACCAGUGGCGAAGGCGACUUACUGGACUGUAACUGACGCUGAGGCAUGAGAGCAUGGGGAGCAAACAGG